UGAGGACACAAUAAGAAGUCUGUGACCUGGAAGAGGGCUCUCACCCUGCUGGCACCUUGAUCUCAGACUUACAGGCUCCAGAACUGUGAGAAAUCACCUUCUUUUUUUAUCAGCCAUCCAGUCUUUGGUAUUUCGUUAUAGCAUCCCGAGUGGCCCAAGACCCCCAGCCAGAGAGCAGUACAGCUGGAAGUCACAGCUGUACUUACAUGCCCACUCUUCCAUCUCAUCCUCCCCAAAAUAUCUGAGAUAGAUGGUUGUCGUUUUCAGAUGAAGAAACAGUCCCAUAAGUUAAGUGACUUGCUGAGGAUACAAUUAAUUUCAGGAGACGUUUUCAUUCCAUUUAGAAACCAGACCUUAUUAUUGAUUAUUUAGAUGUGUUUCUUUUCCUUUCCUUAGGCCUUACAACCUGGUGACAUGCCAAAGAAUGUAUUGGGAUCGGGUGUGAGGAAGAUCCCUAUGUGGAAACCCUAAGCCCCAAUGUGGCUGAAGAUGGAGCCUCUAAAGAAUGUUCAGUAAAUGUUGAAUGAGUGGACGAAAGGCAGGCUUGGAGAAGUUAACUAAUCAGUGUGCUCCUAGUACGUGAUGCAGGUAAGUGAUGGAGCCCGGUGUCCACAGGUCCCCACCCGUUGUUGCUUGUAUGAUAC
Long non-coding RNA from Physeter macrocephalus (sperm whale), 644 nucleotides. RefSeq lists it as uncharacterized. The transcript is spliced from 3 exons. Lineage: Eukaryota; Metazoa; Chordata; Mammalia; Artiodactyla; Physeteridae. The record is from RefSeq and is a predicted model, not a curated record.